Suricata suricatta (meerkat) is the source of this 984-nucleotide long non-coding RNA. RefSeq lists it as uncharacterized. The transcript is spliced from 3 exons. NCBI's taxonomy places the organism in Eukaryota, Metazoa, Chordata, Mammalia, Carnivora, Herpestidae. The record is from RefSeq and is a predicted model, not a curated record.
CUUAUCGGAAGUAGAGCAGAAGAGGGAAAGGUUAUCUGAAAUUGAGACAAAUGAGAAAUCUGGUAUCUUCUCCUCAAAUAUUCGUAGAAAAAAUUUCGCUGCCUCCUCCGCAGGUUACCUUAACUUAUUCCGUUCUCUAGAAAAAUAGCUUGGACCCAACUGCUCUUUUAUGAGUUGGCGGCCAAUGCUUUCACAGAAACUUCCUGCAAAUGUGUGUCAUCUUCGGAGAAAUUCGUGGGCACGAAUCCGGCGUGGAGUCUCGGAUACAGAUGUCUGACCGCUGUCAGACCACACAACGGGGCUGUCAAGGGCAAAGACUUCCCGGGAGUGUCCCUGGAAGGGACUGCGGGUGCUCGUCACUGACCAGACAGCAGCCAGCCUUGACUCUGCCGGCGGAAGAAGGCUGGAGGCCGCAGGUCAGAUUGGCGAGGAACAGAAGAGGCUGACAUCCAGCUUUAAGCGUGUGUUCACGGCCACUAAGCACCAAGCAGACGAGCGCCAGAGAUGGGAGCAGCAUGAAAUAGCCUAACAGUGUGAACCUGAGGUCCUGAGCGGUGAGUGCACCGGGAGGGAACAGAACGUCCCGACCCGUGAAGGCCACGCAAGAGGCGGGAGGAGCUUCAGGAACCACGGAGCAGAGGAGGGAGGGGCCCAGAUGCCUUCAGUCUGAUCACCUCUUUCAGGGAAGCCCACAGUCUGAUCAGAGACAGAGAUUAUUGAAAAGCGAACUGCGGGUCCAGAAUGAGUCACUCAGGCCAGGUGACCUUUAACCAGCCAAUCUGGAAUUACCUGGUCAGCACUAGGAGAUGAUCCACUAUUGACCCCUUCUGGUGACCUUGCCCGGCACAGCAGGUUCUGUGCUAAUAACUUUCUUUUUCCCCGCCCCCUCUCCACCUUGAAAAGCCUUCAUUUUUGUGCAGCUGGGUGGAGCUCCCCUCUACCCGCCAAGGUGGGGAUCAUCUAAUAAACCUGGUUAGACUUUCA